CAAUUACUUUGAUAAGUCUCGUAUACACCAUUGAAAAGAGUCGAUUUUUUAUAAUAGAAGAAAAUAUUGAACAUUUUUUUAUACCAUAUAACUUUCGUGACGAUGAAAUUGAAAUAUUUGUUCGUUUUAUUAUCCAUGUGUCUCGUAGUGAGAUCAGCCCGUAUCAAUUCUGAUUUGGAUGAACAGCUUUUAAAUGCCGCUAAAGAAGGCCACAUCGAAGCAGCGACAUAUCUACGCAAACAUGGAGCACAUGCGUUUAAAUGAUCUAUUAUCUCUCAUUGUCACUAAAGAAAAAGCACCUAGGGUUAAUCACAAAGAAAAGAAUGGAAAUAAAGGAAAUUAAUCAAUAUGUAAUGCAACGUAA
Molecule: long non-coding RNA, 364 nt
Organism: Contarinia nasturtii (swede midge)
Lineage: Eukaryota; Metazoa; Arthropoda; Insecta; Diptera; Cecidomyiidae
Exons: 2
Source: RefSeq, a predicted model, not a curated record